GAUGAAGAACGUAGCGAAAUGCGAUAGGUAAUGUGAAUUGCAGAAUUCAGUGAAUCAUCGAAUCUUUGAACGCACAUUGCGCCCCCUGGUAUUCCGGGGGGCAUGCCUGUCCGAGCGUCAUUGCUGCCCUCAAGCCCGGCUUGUGUGUUGGGUCUCGUCCCCCUUCCCGGGGGGACGGGCCCGAAAGGCAGCGGCGGCACCGCGUCCGGUCCUCGAGCGUAUGGGGCUUUGUCACCCGCUCUGUAGGCCCGGCCGGCGCUUGCCGAUCAACCAAAACUUUUUUCCAGGUUGACCUCGGAUCAGGUAGGGAUACCCGCUGAACUUAAGCAUAUCAAUAAGCGGAGGA
Molecule: unclassified non-coding RNA, 346 nt
Filed under: soil metagenome
Description: partial contains 5.8S ribosomal RNA, internal transcribed spacer 2, and large subunit ribosomal RNA
Rfam family: 5.8S ribosomal RNA (bases 1-120)
Source: RNAcentral